Molecule: ribosomal RNA, 321 nt
Filed under: uncultured Hyphomicrobiales bacterium
Lineage: Bacteria; Pseudomonadati; Pseudomonadota; Alphaproteobacteria; Hyphomicrobiales
Description: bacterial SSU rRNA
Rfam family: Bacterial small subunit ribosomal RNA
Source: RNAcentral
UGGCUCAGAACGAACGCUGGCGGCAGGCCUAACACAUGCAAGUCGAACGUGAAGCCACCUUCGGGUGGUGGAAAGUGGCAGACGGGUGAGUAACGCGUGGGAACGUGCCUUUCGGUUCGGAAUAACCCAGGGAAACUUGGGCUAAUACCGGAUACGCCCUUCGGGGGAAAGAUUUAUCGCCGAAAGAUCGGCCCGCGUCGGAUUAGCUAGUUGGUAGGGUAAUGGCCUACCAAGGCGACGAUCCGUAGCUGGCCUGAGAGGGCGACCGGCCACACUUUCUCUGGGACACGGGCACGGACUCCUACGGGAUCAUGCAGUGGG